GUGGAAAUAUAAUUUUAAUAAUUGAAUAGUUCUUGGAUGGAACAACACAAGUAAUAGAAAGGGUGUGCAUAACUGAGCAGUGAGCACUUGGAGAACAGAGAUGAGGGCAUCAAUCUCAGAAGCUGAUUUUGCAAUGAUGCAUUGACAAUAUUCAUGCCAAUUGCCAAGUAAAAAUAUUGUUCGGAUGUUACAUUCUGAUAAAGGUAUUGGAUGAAACUGUGUGUAAAGAUGUAUAUUCUGAUAGAGGAAUUGUAUGAAGUUGUUUGCAGAGAGGUCCUACAGAAUUCCAUCAAACAUUUUCACCUGACUAUAAACCCAAAAGAAGAGGGGGCUGUGCCCUGUUUCCAUAUUCCGAUGGGCUGGCUUCCCAUAAGAGUACAAUCCAAGCUUCAAAAACAAUCCUACAAAGAAACCAAAACCAGAAAAAACCUAUGCACUGAGGCCCCAACUUUAUUCAUCGUACAAAAAGGAUAAUCAAACUUCCCCCAACUCAUCUGGAGAAGAGAGGAUAAAAAGCCAAAUUGGAGAAUUUAACUCAAAAGCCGAAGGGAGAGAAAGGAAAGGAAAAGUUGGGAAUUGAUGGAAGAAAAGGAUCCACAGGUGUUGAAUCCCUCUGCUACAUA
RNAcentral lists this unclassified non-coding RNA (623 nucleotides) under Hevea brasiliensis (rubber tree). Lineage: Eukaryota; Viridiplantae; Streptophyta; Magnoliopsida; Malpighiales; Euphorbiaceae. The record is from RNAcentral.